This 406-nucleotide ribosomal RNA is filed under the name uncultured bacterium. RNAcentral describes it as "partial 16S ribosomal RNA". It matches the Rfam family "Bacterial small subunit ribosomal RNA", at positions 30 to 526 of the family's 1533-position model. The record is from RNAcentral.
AUUGAACGCUGGCGGCAGGCCUAACACAUGCAAGUCGAACGAGUUGCGGACGGGUGAGUAAUGUCUGGGACACUGCAUGAUGGAGGGGGAUAACUACUGGAAACGGUAGCUAAUACCGCAUACCAUCAGAUGUGCCCAGAUGGGAUUAGCUUGUUGGUGGGGUAACGGUUCACCAAGGCAACGAUCCCUAGCUGGUCUGAGAGGAUGACCAGGCACAAUGGAACGGAGACACGGUCCAGAGUCCUUCGGUAGGCAGCAGGGGGGAAUAUUGCACAAUGUGCGAAAGCCGGAUGCAGCCAUUCCGCGUGUAUGAAGAAGGCCUUCGGUUUGUAAAGUACUUUCAGCGGGGAGGCGUUACCCGCAGAAGAAGCACCGGCUAACUCCGUGCCAGCAGCCGCGGUAAUAC